RNAcentral lists this long non-coding RNA (647 nucleotides) under Callithrix jacchus (white-tufted-ear marmoset). RNAcentral describes it as "lncRNA (ENSCJAG00000086610.1)". Lineage: Eukaryota; Metazoa; Chordata; Mammalia; Primates; Cebidae. The record is from RNAcentral.
CUCCGUCUCCCAGAUUCAAGCAGUUUUGCUGCCUUAGCCACUUGAGUAGAUGGAAUUACAGACAGGUGCCUGCCACCACUCCCGGCUAAUUUUUUAUCUUUAUUUUUAAUAGAGACGGGGUUUCACCAUGUUGGCCAAGCUGGUCUCAAACUCCUGAAAUCGAGUGAUCCACCUGCCCCGCCUCCCAAAGUGCUGGGAUUACAGUGGGAUUACAGUUGUGAGCCACCACACACCAGGCCCAGAAUAUUUUGUAAAGCAAAUUUUUCAUCAAAGAAAGCUUGGACAGAAAAUAUGCCUGGUAAAUCAGUCUUCUAAAAGCUGCUGGAGGUAAGGAAAAAAAUUAGUAAUGUAAUGCUGAACUGCCCAUCUAGUUAAUUCUGGGUAAUAUACCAACAACUUUUUGCUUUUUUUGGCAGAAGUUUUGCCCUUUUUCACUAAUCCUAUCUCAACUUAUUUCAAGAAGAUUUCUUUAGUUGGCUAGGCAAGAAAAUGUUCCUUGCCUCUCUUAUAUAACUUAGUGUCUCCACUUAAAUGAAAUGCCUUAAGGAAAAAGCAAUUGCAGAGGAGGUAGGAAGAAAAGACAAGAACAAGGCUAAAAGAACUUGGUUUUAACAGGCAUGUACAUGAGAACCUUUAUAGACUAAGAA